RNAcentral lists this long non-coding RNA (891 nucleotides) under Brassica napus (rape). RNAcentral describes it as "long non-coding RNA (BNAP_LNC017872)". Lineage: Eukaryota; Viridiplantae; Streptophyta; Magnoliopsida; Brassicales; Brassicaceae. The record is from RNAcentral.
GGUACUCAGGUACCAUCAAUUUUAUUUGACCAAAACAAAGUAUAGUCAAGUACCAUCAAUUUUAUUUGACCAAAAAAAGUAGUCAAGUACCAUCAAUUUUAUUUGUCAAUAGUUGCUUCAAGUUUUUAAUGUUACAAAAAAUCAAAAUUUCAGCCAUUUUUUCAAAAAAAAAAGAAUCAAAAUUUCCAUAGUUUCUUCAAAAAAAAAUCGUACGAAGUAUUUGUAUAGGAUUUGACUAUUUCUGUAGGUGAAAUGACUUCCAACGAUAUGAAUUUUCUGCACGUUGAACGUAGUAAGUUCGGAAUACAAUGAAUGUAUCGCUUUGUUUUUUUUUUGUAAAGAAUGUCGCUUUUUUGUACAUGCAUAAAUAUCAAAUCUUACAAAAAUCAAUAAUAUAAAAUCAUCAGAACUUUUAUUAAAAGAAUCUUUAGAACUUCAAGUAUAAAGGUAAAACUAAUACGUUUGACCAAAAAUCAGGUUUGGUCUCCCUUGGCAACAAAUAUAUUAUAAAUAUUUGGUCUCCCUUGGCAACAAAUAUAUUAUAAAUAUAAAAAUCCCAUACUCAUUUCUUGUUUUGUUUUGUUUUUGCCAAUAACAAAGUUAGAAAAACACAUUACAUAUUCUGAAAACACUUGUCAUCCGCCAAUCACCAAACUUAUCCAAUCAUCAUGACUUAGCGACUGUGUCUUUGCUUUCAGCCUAGUGAUAGUGAAUGUCAUCAUGAGAAGUGGAGAUGAGCACCAUCAAUGCAUCCUGACUGAAUGCAUCAACAUUAUAACUCAUUUUUUGGUGUGAACAUUAUAACUCAUUUUCCAUAAAUACACACAUAAAUAAUAAUUAACACAUUACAAACAAUACAAAAAUUAAGGACGGACUUUAUGAAGUAAGGUU